GACGAACGCUGGCGGCGUGCUUAACACAUGCAAGUCGAACGGUGAACCGCUUUCGGGCGGGGAUCAGUGGCGAACGGGUGAGUAACACGUGGGUAACCUGCCCUCCACUCUGGGAUAACUCCGGGAAACCGGGGCUAAUACCGGAUACGACCUUCCCCGGCAUCGGGGAGGGUGGAAAGUUUUUCGGUGGAGGAUGGACCCGCGGCCUAUCAGCUUGUUGGUGGGGUAACGGCCUACCAAGGCUUUGACGGGUAGCCGGCCUGAGAGGGCGACCGGCCACACUGGGACUGAGACACGGCCCAGACUCCUACGGGAGGCAGCAGUGGGGAAUAUUGCACAAUGGGCGAAAGCCUGAUGCAGCGACGCCGCGUGAGGGAUGACGGCCUUCGGGUUGUAAACCUCUUUCAGCAGGGACGAAGCGCAA
Molecule: ribosomal RNA, 424 nt
Filed under: Actinobacteridae bacterium Ellin7108
Lineage: Bacteria; Bacillati; Actinomycetota; Actinomycetes
Description: bacterial SSU rRNA
Rfam family: Bacterial small subunit ribosomal RNA
Source: RNAcentral